Non-coding RNA from Malus domestica (apple), 967 nucleotides. NCBI's taxonomy places the organism in Eukaryota, Viridiplantae, Streptophyta, Magnoliopsida, Rosales, Rosaceae. The record is from RefSeq and is a predicted model, not a curated record.
CACAAUUGAAAGAAAAAGAGUGGGAAGGAAAUUAUCUAGUCCUCUCACUCCACCUCUCAUCCUGCUGGGAAAACAAUGGGAACAUCCCUUCUCUCACCUCCCAUCCCACUCUCUCACUUCCCUCACACCGCCACCGCCACCGCCACCAAGACAUGGCCGCAAUUCCAUCCCUCUACAACAACUCUCAUCAAAACCUCCUCCCCAUCUUCUAAAUCUCUCACCCUUCUCUCUUCAACUUCCUCACCUUCCUCAGUUGCAGAAGAUGAUGAUUCUCUUGCUUCCCCAUCACAGCCCCCCACUCAACAGUUUCCCCUCAGUGGCUGUAAGUCCUGUGGGAGAGAGGAGGUGGAGAAGGGAUGCAAUGGGGAGGGAAGGAUUCAAGGUGGAAUUGCAACAUUUCCAGGCUUUGGUUGGUGGCCUAUAAAAGCUUACAGGCCCUGUCCUGGUUUUGUGGAAUCUGGCGGCCGCUAUAGGCGACAAGGGCAAAGCUUGGAUGAGGUUGCCUUCGGAAGAGGGGGAAGACGAGACUAGCAUUAAGCAAGACUAAAGAAGGUCCAAGGACAGAAGAGGUAACUGCAUCUCGGUAGAGCCUUGACGGCGUAUAGUAGUUGAUAACAAGUGUGAAGUCGAAUAGCCGAUGCCCAAUUGGAGGGUUUUAAUGUGAACCAUCUGGUAUAUAUUUACCACAUUGAAUUGAAAAAUGGAUGUGUGUUAUAUUUUCCUAUACAGUUCAGAUUCUUGUAGUCAUAGAUUGAUGCCGUGGUAAGUGUCAUCGGAAAGUCCCUCUUUCCGGUGUCGUAUCUUCUAUCUUCUAUGUCAGCAACUCAAAGUUUCUGUUUCCUAACUAGAAUCAUCAGCUUAGGUACUCACUUUGUUGCUCCCCGUCUUCUUAUUUACAACACCGGGGUUCAUUUCCAGAUGAUAAUCGUUGGAGCCGAUUGGUAAUGAAGUCAAGUGUUGCUUGCUA